GGAGAUGGGAGAGGGAGAGGGAGGGAGAUGGAGAGAGUGAAUAUUUAGAGAAACAUGGGAAGCGAGAUCAUCUGGAACAAACUGUUCACUGUGCUUGGGUUUGUCUUUGGGUGCGAGGACUUUGAUGUACAACAGGGUCUCUGAGUGCUGACGCUGUGGUCUAACAAUCCUCAACUAAGUUGAUUAGUCUACCUCUUGAGUAAAACAGGGGUGCGUGUGUUUGUAGGAGUUGUACGAGUUAAGAGGAUAACUUUAUUUUGGUUGUUUUCAUUCUUGUCUAAUGAUUGUUUUGCUGUCUACACUUUGGGGAGGAAGAGAGGGCGAGUUCAUAUCAGCAGAAAUAAUUCCAGAGUUAGCAGCGCUCUCUCUCUCCAGCCGUCUGGACUGUGGAUCGGGACUCCUCAUACACGCAUACACCUGUUGCUCAGGAUCCCGGUGAGGCUAAGUGCAGCAGCAGCCACAGUCUGUGGAUCUGUUCCUCUGUUCUGGAUUGGAAGCCUCUGUCUGUGGACGGUACUGUCGAGGCUUGACCGGACCUGCGUCUGUGUUCUGGGUAGAGUGUGGAGAUGUCAUCUAUGUACCCACGCACCAAGGAGCUGUCCAGGACUAGGAAGUCUCUGUCAGACUCACCACCCUCCUCACCCUCUCCCACGGCCAAGAACUUCAGACAUGACAGGGCAUCAAGGUUGGACUCUGGUGGUGGGGACAGCAAGGCUGAACCCCUGGGCAGAACCAGCUCCUACACACGGAGAGAGACCAGACUGGCAGCAUUGAACAAGCAGGAGGAUGACACCAGCCCCAGGGACUACAAGAAGAUGUAUGAAGACGCCUUGGCAGAGAAUGACAAGCUCAAGUCCCGGCUGGAUGACAGCAAACAUGAGCUGACCAAGAUCCGCUCCCAGCUGGACAAAGUCAACCAGAAACAGGACAGAAUAUCUGAAAGAUCCACUGUACUUGAAUCAGAAAAAAGGGAAAAACAGGCUCUGGAGAAGAGGGUAACAGACAUGGAGGAGGAGCUCAAGCAGGAAGCUGCCCCAGUGAGAAAUUUCCGCUGUGGGUACCAGCCCUGAGCCCCAAGCAUGAGGCAGGCUGGCUCAGGGCCAGGGAGGGGGGACGGGACGGUCUUGACAGAGCUCAAAUCAGACAACCAAAGACUGAAGGACGAGAACGGGGCUCUGAUUCGUGUCAUCAGCAAGUUGUCCAAGUAAAAGGGUGGUGCCCCCUGUAAAAAGUCAGACACGUCCCUGAUGCUUGCAACGUGUCACUAUCAUUAGCAUUCGGUACCCUUCCACCCUGACACUGAACCAUGGUGCUUAGUGACACCUACCUGCCAGCUGUUCUCAGAGGCAUGGUGAGGAACCUUCCAAAUCCGGAUGACCCCUGCCUCGACCCUUGAUCUCUAUGCUCUUAGGCCCACUUCAUACCAGUAGGUCAAAGGUGUGAAGAGCACACAGCGUCUGCACAAAGAGAGUGUUGGUCUGGGGUACAGUAAACUGCGAAGCUCCAGACCAGCAAUCUAAACAAUAUCACAUCCACAUAUUUUACCUGUACAUCACAAACAUACUGUAUUCAUUUUGUGCUUAAUUGUGCACUGCAAAAACAACUUUAUUUUUCUCAAACUACUGAAAAAGCACUCAUAGGAAUUACUUUAAAUAAUCUUUCAUUGCAGUGAUAACAUUACACAUUGCCAUGAAUGCUUCUGAUGUGAGAUGUUGUGACUUGUUUAUGAUCAAUCUUUAUGGUUUAUAGUUCAAUUUCCGUCACAGACCCUUUUCUCUGAGCUGCUCAUCAGUGUGGUCUACUAUAGUCUCUGAGAUGUCACAUUUGAUAGAUAUUUUAAUAAUUUAUUUAUGCAUUUUUUGGUUUAGAAUCUUUGAACCUAUACUCAACUAUAUUUGUACCGAUAUAGUAUUAAUGUGUCCUAUUAAACCAUACCGUUGGAGCCCACAUAGUAACUUAUAUUGGAAGAUGGACAGCCUCUUUUUAUUUCAAGUGAAACAUGUACAUGAUUUGUAAUGCACAGGGAACAACAUACAAGGGCCUUCUUUAUGUGCCUUUCCUUAAAGACCAAUACAGCUAUCAGUCUAAUGAACUGUACGUAUAUUUAAAGACAGUAUUUUAUGUUGAAAUAACUUUACCAUGUAUGUAAAUGUUAUACGAGAGCGAAAUACUGACAUUCUACUUGUACACACAGCUGUGGUUUGAUCACUUGCUUAAUAAACUAUAGAUGGUUAAAUAAUAAAUCAUCUGAGU
Oncorhynchus gorbuscha (pink salmon) is the source of this 2253-nucleotide RNA transcript. It is a transcript of the gene named protein phosphatase 1 regulatory subunit 12B-like, with no coding region annotated. The transcript is spliced from 8 exons. The record is from RefSeq and is a predicted model, not a curated record. Lineage: Eukaryota; Metazoa; Chordata; Actinopteri; Salmoniformes; Salmonidae.